CGCAAGUUGUUUCUUUCAUCUUAUUAUGAACAUACAAGGAAAUGAUUAUUCCCUCAAAAUAUUAUAAUGAAUUUGAUAGGAAUUAGAUAGUUAAAUACUAUAAGGGGUAAAACAGGAAAUUCAUCUAGGUUUGAUACUCCGUAUCGGCUCUAGCUUUGGCUAUGGGAGAGGGGUUUCCCCUGGAACAAUUUCAGAUUGUGUAAUCGUUCAACAUAUCAGUUCUAUUUCAUCAUCAUCUUCUUUCUUUCAAUCUUUCUCUGUUUGAUCCUAUUUCAUCAAACCCUAAUUUCUAUUCUUCAUCAGAAUUGUUGCACUAAGCACUACCGCCUCUUGAGCAAAUUUUUGUCUUUGUUGAUGUGUAUUGUUGUGGGUUAUGGUAGAGCAUAUUUCUCAAAAACCUCUGCUCAUACUUGCACAGGGGAUGGGAAUGCUAUGUGUGCAGGCGUUCCUCUGGAGGAUCUUGAGUUUGUGCCUCAUUACUGAAGGAUCUCGUGGUGAAGGGGGUAUUUUAAGGAAUAGUGAAGGUGAGAGAUUUAUGGAACGUUAUGCUCCAACUGCAAAGGAUCUUGCAUCAAGGGAUGUUGUUUCAACUGCAAAGUUUAAUGCUUUUGCCGAAAAGUGAUGAUGAGAAAUGGAUGAAACACACGUUUGGAUAUGGGGAGAACGAGAAGGUACGACUAGACUACAUGUGAGUUCACAUGAACACUCUUGAUGAUGAGGUGGAGACUUUCCCACACAAGGCUGAGCGUAUAUUAAUAACAUCCUCUCACAAGGAUCAAACCUACUGUUUUCCUAGAAAGGUUACCAUUAUCAAGCCAAAGUUACAAAGUUAAGGAUCAUUUCAUAUCAUAUGUGUGUGUUGAUUGCUACCCUUCAUUGUAUUGUGAAAAUGAUUCUGGUAAUAAUUACAUCUUAUAUGCUUUUGGUACGUCAUAUGCGAUAUGAUUGGUGAUUUAUCA
Non-coding RNA from Lactuca sativa (garden lettuce), 959 nucleotides. The record is from RefSeq and is a predicted model, not a curated record. Lineage: Eukaryota; Viridiplantae; Streptophyta; Magnoliopsida; Asterales; Asteraceae.